UGGGGAAUAUUGCACAAUGGGCGCAAGCCUGAUGCAGCCAUGCCGCGUGUAUGAAGAAGGCCUUCGGGUUGUAAAGUACUUUCAGCGAGGAGGAAGGCGGUAAGGUUAAUAACCUUAUCGAUUGACGUUACUCGCAGAAGAAGCACCGGCUAACUCCGUGCCAGCAGCCGCGGUAAUACGGAGGGUGCAAGCCUUAAUCGGAAUUACUGGGCGUAAAGCGCACGCAGGCGGUCUGUCAAGUCGGAUGUGAAAUCCCCGGGCUCAACCUGGGAACUGCAUUCGAAACUGGCAGGCUAGAGUCUUGUAGAGGGGGGUAGAAUUCCAGGUGUAGCGGUGAAAUGCGUAGAGAUCUGGAGGAAUACCGGUGGCGAAGGCGGCCCCCUGGACAAAGACUGACGCUCAGGUGCGAAAGCGUGGGGAGCAAACA
Molecule: ribosomal RNA, 427 nt
Filed under: uncultured bacterium
Lineage: Bacteria
Description: partial 16S ribosomal RNA
Rfam family: Bacterial small subunit ribosomal RNA
Source: RNAcentral